AGAGAAUGGCUUGUGCCCGGGAGGCAGAGGUUGCAGUGAGUCAAGAUUGAACCACUCCACUCCAGCCUGGGUGACAGAA
This 79-nucleotide small nuclear RNA is filed under the name Homo sapiens (human). RNAcentral describes it as "partial ncRNA". Lineage: Eukaryota; Metazoa; Chordata; Mammalia; Primates; Hominidae. The record is from RNAcentral.